This 510-nucleotide ribosomal RNA is filed under the name uncultured bacterium. RNAcentral's name for it is "partial 16S ribosomal RNA". It matches the Rfam family "Bacterial small subunit ribosomal RNA", at positions 28 to 507 of the family's 1533-position model. The record is from RNAcentral.
GACGAACGCUGGCGGCGUGCUUAACACAUGCAAGUCGAACGAAGAGCGAUGGAAGCUUGCUUCUAUCAAUCUUCGUGGCGAACGGGUGAGUAACGCGUAAUCAACCUGCCCUUCAGAGGGGGACAACAGUUGGAAACGACUGCUAAUACCGCAUACGAUCCAACCUCGGCAUCGAGGAGGGAUUAAAGGUGGCCUCUAUUUAUAAGCUAUCACUGAAGGAUGGUAGUUGGUCUGGUUAGAGAGUAGGAGGGGGAACGGCCCACAAAGGCAAGGAUCAGUGGACGGGCUGAGAGAAGAAGCUGCCCCACAGGGAAGGAGAACCGGCCCAGAAUCCUACGGGAGGCAGCAGUGGGGAAUCUUCCGCAAGGGGGGAAAGACUGACGGAGAAACGCCGCGUGAGGGAUGAGGGCCUUCGGGUUGUAUAGCUCUGUUAAUCGGGAAGAAAGAACUUCUUGCGAAUAGUUAGAAGAAUUGACGGUACCGGAAUAGAAAGCCACGGCUAACUACGUG